Molecule: transfer RNA, 76 nt
Filed under: Stenotrophomonas maltophilia
Lineage: Bacteria; Pseudomonadati; Pseudomonadota; Gammaproteobacteria; Lysobacterales; Lysobacteraceae
Description: tRNA-Arg
Source: RNAcentral
UUUCACGGGCGCGCGGCAAGUUCGCGCUGGACGGCUUCGAAUCGUCCGACGCCGCCGUGCGUUCGGUGCGCGACGA